RNAcentral lists this ribosomal RNA (682 nucleotides) under uncultured Acidobacteriota bacterium. RNAcentral describes it as "bacterial SSU rRNA". It matches the Rfam family "Bacterial small subunit ribosomal RNA", at positions 56 to 719 of the family's 1533-position model. The record is from RNAcentral. Lineage: Bacteria; Pseudomonadati; Acidobacteriota.
UGCAAGUCGAACGCGAAAGGGACUUCGGUCCUGAGUAGAGUGGCGAACGGGUGAGUAACGCGUGGGUGACCUACCCUCGAGUGGGGGAUAACGUUCCGAAAGGGACGCUAAUACCGCAUGACAUUCCUGGUUUGAAGACUGGGAAAUCAAAGCCGGGGACCGCAAGGCCUGGCGCUUGAGGAGGGGCCCGCGUCUGAUUAGCUAGUUGGCGGGGUAAUGGCCCACCAAGGCGACGAUCAGUAGCCGGCCUGAGAGGGCGGACGGCCACACUGGGACUGAGGCACGGCCCAGACUCCUACGGGAGGCAGCAGUGGGGAAUUGUUCGCAAUGGGCGCAAGCCUGACGACGCAACGCCGCGUGGAGGAUGAAGGUCUUCGGAUUGUAAACUCCUGUUGAUCGGGACGAAAAGCUCCAACCCAACACGUUGGAGACUGACGGUACCGGUUGAGGAAGCCACGGCUAACUCUGUGCCAGCAGCCGCGGUAAUACAGAGGUGGCAAGCGUUGUUCGGAAUUACUGGGCGUAAAGGGCGCGUAGGCGGCCUUCUAAGUCGGACGUGAAAGCCCCAGGCUUAACCUGGGAACUGCGUCUGAUACUGGGAGGCUUGGAUUCGGGAGAGGGAUGUGGAAUUCCAGGUGUAGCGGUGAAAUGCGUAGAUAUCUGGAGGAACACCGGUGGCGAA